UAGGGAAUCUUCGGCAAUGGACGGAAGUCUGACCGAGCAACGCCGCGUGAGUGAAGAAGGUUUUCGGAUCGUAAAGCUCUGUUGUAAGAGAAGAACGAGUGUGAGAGUGGAAAGUUCACACUGUGACGGUAUCUUACCAGAAAGGGACGGCUAACUACGUGCCAGCAGCCGCGGUAAUACGUAGGUCCCGAGCGUUGUCCGGAUUUAUUGGGCGUAAAGCGAGCGCAGGCGGUUAGAUAAGUCUGAAGUUAAAGGCUGUGGCUUAACCAUAGUACGCUUUGGAAACUGUUUAACUUGAGUGCAAGAGGGGAGAGUGGAAUUCCAUGUGUAGCGGUGAAAUGCGUAGAUAUAUGGAGGAACACCGGUGGCGAAAGCGGCUCUCUGGCUUGUAACUGACGGUGAGGCUCGAAAGCGUGGGGAGCAAACAGGAUUAGAUACCCUGGUAGUCCACGCCGUAAACGAUGAGUGCUAGGUGUUAGACCCUUUCCGGGGUUUAGUGCCGCAGCUAACGCAUUAAGCACUCCGCCUGGGGAGUACGACCGCAAGGUUG
This 550-nucleotide ribosomal RNA is filed under the name uncultured bacterium. RNAcentral's name for it is "bacterial SSU rRNA". It matches the Rfam family "Bacterial small subunit ribosomal RNA", at positions 355 to 896 of the family's 1533-position model. The record is from RNAcentral.